CCGAACAGCCAGUCAGUCGUUGUCCACCCGAAAGGCAACAUUUAAUUUUAAUUUUAAGUCUUAUUAAACUAAUACGCGAACCAUUCGAAGUUAAGUCAUACCUAUUUUUAAUAGUCACAAAUCACGCGUGCCGUAAACGAAGCUGGAUAGAAAAAUAAAAUCACGCAUCAAUCUGAUCCUUGUGCAAAGCAACACACGAAAACGGAAACGAACACAAAAUAAAAUACCAUGUGCUGUGACAGGAGAAAUUACUCGCACGAAUCAUAAUUUUCAAAUUGUUCAAAUUUUAUACCAAGCAUUACCGAAUCUCAUUCACCAGUUCUAAGAAGAGCUGUUUAGCGAAUUUUUUAUUGAAAAAAAACACAUCGAAUUAAGUUACGCCAUUCAAACGUGCGAAAGUGUGAAAACCGAAGUUGUGUGACCCUUCUGUGGGGGAGUGAAACAAAAAAAAAAAACAGAAGCUAGUCUAAUCAAAUAUAUUCGAUCAAAGGGAACAGAAAAAAAAAUACAGAAUACAGUUUUCGUGCCGCCUGUGACACAGAAGUGCGGUCAGAGCAACAGUUGUGUGUGCGCGGAAAGUGUCACAAAAAUAGAGAGAGAGAGAGAGAGAGAGAGAGAGAGCGCACCGGCGGACAAGUGUGAAAUGAUCUGAUGCGGCAUAUGCUGAUUAUGUACUUCAUUGUAGUCUACUAAUCAUCAAGUGGCGCGCAACAUUAGCAUCAUUUUAACGAGCACCCACACAAUCCCGCGGUCGGUGACAACGAGCGAGGAGUUCUUAAUUUACAUACUGAUAUCGAAUAGAAGGCGGCAGUGAUAAACACAAAUUCGAAUAGUAUCGAAGGAAAAACUCUUAUAGAUAAAAGAUUGAACCUGCAAUCGAAACAAACGAACGAAAAACAGCAAAGUCAAAUAAUAUUUCCCUGAUCGGAGGAAAUUCGAAGAAAAGCACAAAAACUCAAAACUACGGAUCACAAGUGACUUGACUAACGUAAAAUUAAAAUUAAAUGUUAAAAUAAACCGAUCGAAGCAAGCAGCAAUAAUGGCAGACAGUGAGCAGCAUAAAAACAACAUCGGGGGAACUACCGAUAAUGUACCAACCGCAAAGACGGACCGGAAAAUAAUCAACCGGUCCCGGUGUGCCAGACAGAGCGAAAGUGACAGUGAAAAAGUGACCUUGUAUCUAAGUGCCCGAAAGGCCAGUGAAUAUCACAGCAAGCUGGCCAACAGUGUAGAAUACGACCAGGCGGCUGUGUCAAUUCGGAAGAGUACCAAUCUAGUCAAAUGUGACAGUGAUAAAGAAGUCAAUAUGCUCAAACGAAAGAAAGUGCCAUCGGUGAGUCAGCUGAGUGACGGUGAAGAUCGGGGACCUACUUACGCGUCGGUGCUGAAACAGUCGGACGCCGAGAAUAUCCAGCCAACGCCUACGGCCAGUGUCAGUGCCGUGGGAUUCUCCAGUAGCAAACGAAUAAAGAUAGAUCUGCAAGGUGGCGAGGGCAAACUAAUUGUCAGUAAACCACCCAUUCCACCGAAACCAGAUAGUGGCAGGUUAGCGCAGCAGCAACAACAUCAUCAACAACAACAGCAAGUGGGCGCGGGGAAGUCGAAGAAGCAUGUGAUCAGUGAGGCCCACAAUGCGUUGACCGUGCAGAAGCUGCUUGCUCAGAAUGAACAGAUGCGGCUGGAAAUAAAUGAGCUGCGGCUCAGUUUGGCCACGGAACGAAAUGCUGUGAGAGUUUUAAGGGCUCAAAACGAAUCCGAUCUUCGGCGGUCGAAGACCGAGUGCAAAAAACUACAGGAAGCUCUCUCACAUCAGAAGCGCAAUGUCGCUCCGGCGGCUUCUUCGGCGGCCAAACGAACAAAUCGAACGGCGGCUGGCGGUACCGCGGAUGACGUACACGCUGGCCAAACGGUUUCGAUUCACCAGCUGAAUCUGGACAUUCUCAAACUCAACCAGGAGCUUUCCGCUUUGCGUGAGACUAAUAAGUUUUUGGAGGAUAAAAUACAAAUUUCCUCAGAGGCUGAACGGCGGAAAGCUUCUGACAUGCGAGUGCAAAGGGACCUGUACGAACUGCGAUUGACUCAACUGACUAAGUCUGCCAGAAGCGAAAUUCAACGACUGCUGGAGGAGCUAAAAUCCAAAGACCGCAACAUUGGCCAUCUGCGGAAGGAGAUUUUAGCGCUGCAGAAGGCAGGAGGUUCCAGGAAGGAGAAAAAGACUGCUAAAAAUUCCGCUCAGCAAUCGCAAGAGAUGCGAAAACUGCAUGAGUCCGAAUCAUGUAGCGGAAACGUCAGCCAAAGUGACAGCCACAGUAGCAUCCGUUCGGUCUGCGAAGAAUUGGAACGACAGAACGAUGCUGAAGCUGACGCAGUUUUAGGACAGUCACUAAAUCCGCAAUGUUCUCCUUCGCCGGACUUCGUCAAACCUGACGGCAUCGGUCAAUCAACGAGUGACUAUUUUAAUUCUAGUAGAAACUGUAGUAGCUUAAGCAUAGACUUAGAAACGACGACGUGUGGCUAUGACGAACAUAGGUCAAUGCCACACGAAUCACGAACCAUGGAAGCUCACAACGAUUUGCACGCUUCUUCUAGUAGCAGUAGUAUUAGUAGUAGUAACAGUAGAAUAGAAAACACAACCGACCCAGUUCCGAUGAACGGCAGCACAUCACCGAGUAAAAUCGGAACGACUAGAAUCGACCAAAUCGGACCCCGGCAACUGUCGGUGACAUCGGAUGCCGAUUCGGCCAUAUCUUCGGCACCGCCGUCGCUCAGCCCACAGGCGACCGGCUGUCCGAAUUCUCCGGAAGUUUGGCGAGCCCAUCAUCAUCCGCAGGUAGCACUGCGCGACCAAAGCCAACUAGUCGAGAUCAAAAUGGAACUGGACCGGAUGCAGGCCAAGUACGACCUACUCAGCGCAGACUACGGUCGGGCCAAGGAGCAGAUCGAUGAACUCGAACGGGAAUUGGUGGAGGCUACCCAAGUAACACAGGAAAGAGCGAAAAUUGUUGAACGCUUGGACUACUUGGAGCAACGAGAGGAGAGUUUGUUGCGCGAGAGCCAUGAACUGCGCGAACAAAAUGAACUGCUCGAAUUUCGCAUCAUAGAACUGGAGGAGAGCCACGAUAAGUGGUCACUUCGCAGCAACCCGAGCCCAACGGUCGGUAGUAGCAACGGUAGCCACAGCACCAAGGACGUAUGGACCGACACGGACAAGGAGCAUGACGAUCUGAUUAUGCACUCGGAACGGUCGGAUUCGGGAGUUACGUCUCCGAACAGCCACCACCAUCUGGAUGACCACCGGACGAGCGGAGUGCCGUCGCCGUGCUGUGAUUUGUCACUGCUGGACCAGAUUCCAACGGACGACGUCCGGAAGCGCAUCAUCACCAUGUCCAAGCGGUCGUGUUACGACGAAGAGGACCGGGUGUGUCUGCUGCAGAUUCUGUCGCUGCUGAACAAUCUGGAGGCGUUGUCGCAGGAUCACGAGAUUAUCAGUGAGGAUUCGAGUCUGGAGAUGUCUGCGAAGUACAAUUAUCCCUUGCCGGAUAGUCAUCCGCCGAAAACGUUGGCGAUGAGUUCGACACCGUUCAAGAGCCAGCAAGGUAAAAUUGUGGCCACCGUGCAGCCCUUCAAUAGCACCGAACCAAAAAGUCUCUCGAUCGCAUCGAUUGCGGAAACUUUUGGCGGAAUGAAAAAGUCCGCCAAAUGGGGCUCGACCAGUCUGCAGGAGAGUGGAGUGUUCGUGGACGAAAUUUCGGUUAGUAAUAUCAGCACCCAAACGGAACUGGAGGACUUUCCCUGUUUGGAACGUACCAACGCCGAACUUUGCGCAGAGAUCGAGAAGCUGAACCGUUUCCGGAAGAAGAUCGAAGAGUGUUCGAUUAAGAGACGGGGCAAAAACCCGGUGGGAGUUAGUUUGUCUUUGCCGGCGGAAUCGUGUGAGAAACGACGCCUACAGUACUACGUGGAACGUUUGGAACAGUUGGAGAAUAAGAUUAAAGUUUACGAAAGUAGUGGUGAUCAGCAAAUUAGGCAGCUAGCGGAGAGGUUACAACGCGAGAUUCAACUGGAAGGUUGGGUGAAACUGUUGAAUGAACAGGUUAACAAGCUGGAAGACGACAAUGAGCGACUGGAAGAGGAGCGAUGUGAGCUGGAGGAAAUUGAGAACGAUACCAGGCUAAAGUUGCAACGACUGGAGGUGGAUUACGAGGUAAUGAGCCAACGGAACACGGAACUGGAGAUGUCCAAAAGUUCGUACCAAUCCAAGUACCAGGAUGCCAGGGAUAGUGCCGAAAGCUUAGAGGAGCUGGUGCACAAGUGUGAAGAAAGAAUAUUUGUCCUGGAGGAAACCGAAAACGAACUCAACGAUCGUAUCGAUCUCAUACUGGCGUUUAUUCCCGUGUUGUUGAUGUACAACAGCUGGCAACUGCAGGAACAGAUGGCGGCUUGUCGGAAAACAAUUUCGCUGAACCAAAUCCCACCGGAUAACAUUGAGUAUUACGAGUCUGCUAAUGAUGAUCUGCAAGCGAGACUCGGUGAGUUGUUAACUCGGGAGAAAGAACUUACGCAAAACAUUGCCGAACUAAAUCGUGCCUACAACGAAACCCUGGAGAAUGCGGACAAUCUGUGGGCUCAGAUGGAAAAAGAGUACAAAGAUAAAAUAUCCAAAUGUGAGAUGGUGGAGUCGAAUCUCAAAUCGAAGAUCACUCAACUGGAGGAGCGACUGAGCAAAGACAGUGACUAUGCUCACGAACGAAUCGUUCACUUGGAGGAAGCUGAAAACAAUCUGAAGAAUCGAGUGGCCAAGUUGAAUAAAGAUAACAAAGAACUGGUAGCGAAGCAUACGGCACUGUUGGAAGAGUACAGCACUCUGAAGGAAGAAUAUCUGAAGUUGCAAAACUAUCUGCGAGGUCCGGCUGUGGAAAACCUUGAAAAAGAAAAACGUAAAAUUGUUGCUCUAGAAGAGGAGCUCGCAUUGAGCACCCGACUGUUGAAGGAGGUAGAAGAAACGCACAAAACCGAAGUCGGUCAGAUGAGAGGUAAGCUGACGGGAGCGACGAAAGAGCUGAAUCACAUUGAGGUAACCAACAGUGAACUGCGGGAGGAGGUUGAAACAUUGGAAACCCGAAUCCGUGAGCUGCUAACCUUGCGAAAUGCCGAUGACGAACGGAUCAAACAUCUCACCGAGGAGCUGCAAGCCAAACAGGCUCAGAUUGGUCAACUGCAGUUGCAGGCUGCUACCGGCCAGACCAAAUCUGGUUACGCCCGAAGUCUCGCUCAGGAAUUGGAACGACCAGUUAAGGGGUGCUAUUCCAAGUUGGGCUACGAAAUUCACCCGCUCAAUCGAAGAUUCCCCGGGGAUAGCGGAGAUAGUAGCGGUAGUGAGGACAAGAUCAAAUUCCCGAUGUCGAGACCGGUCACGGAAACCAAAGAAGUGAAGAGCUUGGCCGAAACCAUUAUUCUGAACGCCGAAAGUCGAGGCAUUCGAACGCCAAAGAAAUCAUUUGUCGAGGAGGCUCGCAGCCGCUUCGCCCGUUGGGUGUAAUAGAAAUUGUAAAAAACAAAAAAUUGAUAUCUGGAAUAGCCGAGCAGCAGUCGGAAAAAAGGCAAGCAGCAACAAUCCCCCGUGUGGAUGUUUGAAACUACUAACAUGUGUGUAACUCUGGAAGGGUUUGGAUAUCGAUUAUCCCUGAACCAUUGCAUCAAUUUGGGUGGGUGGGAUAUAUGUACAGAAUGUGAUAAUCUAACGUGCCUUUGAAUCACUCAUGCGGACCUCACACGUCGAGAUUAGAACCAAUCAACCAACAGCACGGAGCACAAAUUACAGCCCGUUGGAUCCUAGUUGGCCAUUGGAUGUAGAGUUAGUUGUCAUUUGACGGUUUGACAGUUGCAACACAGCAACACAGCAGGCACCAUCCGUCGUCAGCAGAGCAAACAACAGAAAAAAACAAGAUUCUAGUCGAUUUGAUUAUACUUUUGUUUGUUAGGUUUUAGUGUCCCGUAAGCAUAUAUAUAUAGUUUUAGGUUUUGCAAAUCAUUAUGUACAGAGUUAGUACGUCGAAACACUUAUUUAAACAUGAAAUACGACACUAGUUACUAAUAGCGUAGAGAGCCACAAAAAACGAAACGACAACCUCUCGCCCCGUACUGCUCGGAACUUCGCCGACACAUGAGGGCGGGCGGGAGGCCAGUGUAACAAAUAGUUUCUUUUUGGAAAUUAUGUUUACUUCCCUCAUUCAGUUAUGCUAUGGUUUCGUUUAGAGCUACAGUUUCGUUUAUAUGAGUUGCCUUGAACUGCCCGAUUUGUACAACUAUUGGUUUUCAUCAUUAUUUCCCGGUAGAGAAUAAUUAUGUUAAGCUUGCACGAAUCCAUUCUGCGCACGUUUAAUUUGUUGUUUUGUAAAUACCCUAAGUUAGCGAACCACUUUGAGUAGUUUUCUAUUGAGUUAGUACAAUUUCUUUUAACCGCAUUUUUUGUAAGCAAAACAAUCCGAGCAUUGAAGAGCAGUAGAUCAUGGUUUUGUUUUUGUACUAUUUCAGUUUGUAUUUUGCAUCUGCGUCGCUCAUUAUCAUUUUAUCACAAAUGAAUCUCAUUUUCUUAAACUUUUUUUUUAUAUCAUCAA
RNA transcript from Malaya genurostris, 6617 nucleotides. It is a transcript of the gene named nucleoprotein TPR, with no coding region annotated. The transcript has 13 exons. NCBI's taxonomy places the organism in Eukaryota, Metazoa, Arthropoda, Insecta, Diptera, Culicidae. The record is from RefSeq and is a predicted model, not a curated record.